Homo sapiens (human) is the source of this 314-nucleotide long non-coding RNA. RefSeq lists it as uncharacterized. The record is from RefSeq and is a predicted model, not a curated record. Lineage: Eukaryota; Metazoa; Chordata; Mammalia; Primates; Hominidae. The transcript is spliced from 3 exons.
UUUCCUUAAAAUUUUUUGUUGCUUUGGAAAAGGCAUCCAAUGAGCUAAACUAUGAUGCAUUCAGGAAAUUGAAUUAGAAGAACUUAGAGGUCUAUUUGUUGCAGAUAAGCUAUACUGCUAGAUAAACAUUCAUAGACUAUGUGGAAGAAAGCCCAGUUGUCCCAGUGGCUCUAGAUAUGAGACCGAGCCAAUAUAUUUAGAGCUACCUACCCAAUCUGCAGUUCAUCAAAAACAGAGAUCAUUGGCGCAAUCAAAGACUUGGAAAUGGAAGGAUGGCAUCUCUCCUUUCCCGUUUUCUGCCUCUUUGGCUUGGA